Molecule: regulatory RNA element, 114 nt
Organism: Monodelphis domestica (gray short-tailed opossum)
Lineage: Eukaryota; Metazoa; Chordata; Mammalia; Didelphimorphia; Didelphidae
Rfam family: Potassium channel RNA editing signal
About the family: This family represents a group of sequences related to the human potassium channel Kv1.1 hairpin element which directs the efficient modification of an adenosine to inosine by an adenosine deaminase acting on RNA (ADAR).
Source: Rfam
CCCAGGUAUGGGGACAUGGUACCCAAGACCAUCGCAGGGAAAAUCUUUGGUUCCAUCUGCUCCCUCAGUGGUGUCCUGGUCAUCGCCCUACCUGUCCCUGUUAUCGUCUCCAAC